CAACCCUCGGUCACCACCGGUUUUGAGCGAGCUGGGUCCCACGGACCCGGCCGGCUUUAAAGUUGUAAGCUCUGCUGGCUGCUCAGCCCAACCAGAACAUAGUAAAACCUACUUGUUCGCGGGUCAAGGUUGAAGCGGUACGGCCUGAACAAUACCUACCAAACUCUAAG
RNAcentral lists this unclassified non-coding RNA (170 nucleotides) under uncultured Monacrosporium. RNAcentral describes it as "sequence contains ITS2". Lineage: Eukaryota; Fungi; Ascomycota; Orbiliomycetes; Orbiliales; Orbiliaceae. The record is from RNAcentral.